This 71-nucleotide transfer RNA is filed under the name Culex quinquefasciatus (southern house mosquito). RNAcentral describes it as "tRNA-Glu". The record is from RNAcentral. Lineage: Eukaryota; Metazoa; Arthropoda; Insecta; Diptera; Culicidae.
GGGACCUGGACCCGUGGUAAGCGUGGUUGCCUCUCAUCCAGUCGGCCUGGGUUCGAUCCCAGAAGGUCCCG